RNAcentral lists this ribosomal RNA (1972 nucleotides) under Chroococcidiopsis sp. CENA246. RNAcentral's name for it is "bacterial SSU rRNA". The stretch from base 1 to 1467 matches the Rfam family "Bacterial small subunit ribosomal RNA". Lineage: Bacteria; Bacillati; Cyanobacteriota; Cyanophyceae; Chroococcidiopsidales; Chroococcidiopsidaceae. The record is from RNAcentral.
GAUGAACGCUGGCGGUAUGCUUAACACAUGCAAGUCGAACGGAGCUUUUCGGAGCUUAGUGGCGGACGGGCGAGUAACGCGUGAGAAUCUGCCUUUUGGACCGGGACAACUGCGGGAAACGGCAGCUAAGACCGGAUGUGCCUGCGGGUGAAAUAUUCAUAGCCAAAAGAGGAGCUCGCGACCGAUCAGCUAGUUGGUGGGGUAAGAGCCUACCAAGGCUGCGAUCGGUAGCCGGUUUGAGAGGACGACCGGCCACACUGGGACUGGGACACGGCCCAGACUCCUACGGGAGGCAGCAGUGGGGAAUUUCCCGCAAUGGGCGAAAGCCUGACGGAGCAAUACCGCGUGAGGGAGGAAGGCUCUUGGGUCGUAAACCUCUUUUCUCAGGGAAGAAGCAAUGACGGUACCUGAGGAAUCAGCAUCGGCUAACUCCGUGCCAGCAGCCGCGGUAAUACGGAGGAUGCAAGCGUUAUCCGGAAUGAUUGGGCGUAAAGCGUCCGCAGGUGGCACAUCAAGUCUGCUGUCAAAGCCCCCAGCUUAACUGGGAAGAGGCGGUGGAAACUGGUGAGCUAGAGAGCAAUAGGGGUAGAGGGAAUUCCCGGUGUAGCGGUGAAAUGCGUAGAGAUCGGGAAGAACACCAGUGGCGAAAGCGCUCUACUAGGUUGCAACUGACACUGAGGGACGAAAGCUAGGGGAGCGAAUGGGAUUAGAUACCCCAGUAGUCCUAGCCGUAAACGAUGGAUACUAGGCGUUUCUCGUAUCGACCCGAGGAGUGCCGGAGCCAACGCGUUAAGUAUCCCGCCUGGGGAGUACGCACGCAAGUGUGAAACUCAAAGGAAUUGACGGGGGCCCGCACAAGCGGUGGAGUAUGUGGUUUAAUUCGAUGCAACGCGAAGAACCUUACCAGGGCUUGACAUGUCUGGAACCCGUGGGAAACUAUGGGGUGCCGAAAGGAGCCAGAACACAGGUGGUGCAUGGCUGUCGUCAGCUCGUGUCGUGAGAUGUUGGGUUAAGUCCCGCAACGAGCGCAACCCUCGUGUUUAGUUGCCAUCAUUCAGUUGGGCACUCUAGACAGACUGCCGGUGACAAACCGGAGGAAGGUGGGGAUGACGUCAAGUCAGCAUGCCCCUUACGUCCUGGGCGACACACGUACUACAAUGCUACGGACAACGGGAAGCCAACCAGCGAUGGGGAGCAAAGCCCAGCAAACCGUAGCUCAGUUCAGAUCGCAGGCUGCAACUCGCCUGCGUGAAGGCGGAAUCGCUAGUAAUCGCCGGUCAGCCAUACGGCGGUGAAUACGUUCCCGGGCCUUGUACACACCGCCCGUCACACCAUGGAAGUUGGCCACGCCCGGAGUCAUUACUCUAACCCGCUUGCGGGAGGAGGAUGCCGAAGGCAGGGCUGAUGACUGGGGUGAAGUCGUAACAAGGUAGCCGUACCGGAAGGUGUGGCUGGAUCACCUCCUUUACAGGGAGACCAACUUCAGUAACCAGUAGAGAGUGAUCGGUGCCGAUUUUAUCGGCAAGGGCACUAACAACAAGCUGGAAACUGAGGACAUCCCGAGGUCGGACGACACUGACACAACAGCUCGAGUGCAGCAACGCUUUCAAACUAGAACUGGUUCGGUAGGUGCGAUACCACCAGUAGGGGCUAUUAGCUCAGGUGGUUAGAGCGCACCCCUGAUAAGGGUGAGGUCCCUGGUUCGAGUCCAGGAUGGCCCACCUCAAAGAAUUGAGAAUUUCCAGUUCGAGAUUCAAAAAAAUUGAAAAAUGCGAUUGGUCAAGUCAAAUCCAGUGGGAUGUGAUAGGCUAGUUAAGUUGAGCAAAAUUCAGCACUGUCUGCGAGUGGAGACAACUGCUGGAAAUUCUCCAGCGAGUACCUUGAAAACUGCAUAGAGACAAGAGAAACAGUCAGGUAGAAAACCAAGUAUUUGCGAAAUAACUGGUCAAGCGAAAUACAGCUGACGGUGGAU